UAGAGUCCAGCCUGCCCAGUGACAUAGUUUAACGGCCGCGGUACCCUAACCGUGCGAAGGUAGCAUAAUCACUUGUUCCUUAAAUAGGGACUCGUAUCAACGGCAUCACGAGGGCUGUACUGUCUCCUUUCUCCAAUCAGUGAAACUGAUCUCCCCGUGAAGAAGCGGGGAUAAGCCUAUAAGACGAGAAGACCCCAUGGAGCUUUAAACCCAUCACGCACCUCUACGCACUAAAAACAAUAAAGCCUAAGAGGCUUGUGUGCUGGUUUUAGGUUGGGGUGACCAAGGAGUAAAAUCAAACCUCCACGACAGACGGACUAAUAUCCUUAUCCACGAACCACAAUUCUAAGAGCCAAUAAAUUGUUGUCUAAUGACCCAAUUACUUGAUCAACGAACCAAGUUACCCUGGGGAUAACAGCGCAAUCUACUUCAAGAGCCCCUAUCGACAAGUAGGUUUACGACCUCGAUGUUGGAUCAGGGUGUCCUAGUGGUGCAACCGCUGCUAAAGGUUCGUUUGUUCAACGAUUAAAACCCUACGUGAUCUGAUUUCCAAAACCGGAA
RNAcentral lists this ribosomal RNA (561 nucleotides) under Amolops aniqiaoensis (Aniqiao torrent frog). Its description in RNAcentral is "partial large subunit ribosomal RNA". It matches the Rfam family "Bacterial large subunit ribosomal RNA", at positions 1846 to 2624 of the family's 2925-position model. Lineage: Eukaryota; Metazoa; Chordata; Amphibia; Anura; Ranidae. The record is from RNAcentral.